GGGGUGUAUAGCUUAGGUUGUAGAGCAUUGGGCUUUUAAUCUAAUUGUCGCAGGUUCAAGUCCUACUAUCCCCA
Non-coding RNA from Datura stramonium (jimsonweed), 74 nucleotides. Lineage: Eukaryota; Viridiplantae; Streptophyta; Magnoliopsida; Solanales; Solanaceae. The record is from the annotation of a GenBank genome assembly.